GACGAACGCUGGCGGCGUGCUUAACACAUGCAAGUCGAACGGAAAGACCCUGCUUUUGUGGGGUGCUCGAGUGGCGAACGGGUGAGUAACACGUGAGUAACCUGCCCUUGACUUUGGGAUAACUUCAGGAAACUGGGGCUAAUACCGGAUAGGAGCUCCUGCUGCAUGGUGGGGGUUGGUAAGUUUCGGCGGUUGGGGAUGGACUCGCGGCUUAUCCGCUUGUUGGUGGGGUAGUGGCUUACCAAGGGUUUGACGGGUAGCCGGCCUGAGAGGGUGACCGGCCACAUUGGGACUGAGAUACGGCCCAGACUCCUACGGGAGGCAGCAGUGGGGAAUAUUGCACAAUGGGCGGAAGCCUGAUGCAGCAACGCCGCGUGCGGGAUGACGGCCUUCGGGUUGUAAACCGCUUUCGCCGGUGACGAAGCGUGAGUGACGGUAAUGGGUAAAGAAGCACCGGCUAACUACGUG
This 468-nucleotide ribosomal RNA is filed under the name uncultured bacterium. RNAcentral's name for it is "partial 16S ribosomal RNA". It matches the Rfam family "Bacterial small subunit ribosomal RNA", at positions 28 to 507 of the family's 1533-position model. The record is from RNAcentral.